Molecule: non-coding RNA, 131 nt
Organism: Clostridium sp. CAG:575
Lineage: Bacteria; Bacillati; Bacillota; Clostridia; Eubacteriales; Clostridiaceae
Source: Rfam
AAAUAAAUAUAAUAUAAGCCAAAGACAGUAGGCAAAAUUAAAUCUUAAGUCCUACCGAGGUUAUAGAAUAAAGUGAUAAGCACUUUUUAUAACCGCGGAUAUGGAUAUAAAAAGUGUUUUUAAAUUUUUAA